Non-coding RNA from Caulobacterales bacterium, 205 nucleotides. The record is from Rfam. Lineage: Bacteria; Pseudomonadati; Pseudomonadota; Alphaproteobacteria; Caulobacterales.
GAACAGUCGAAAGGAGGUGAUCCAGUGUCUCAUUGUCAUCAAUCGCGUGCGGUGGCCGCGACCCUGGUCCUCGGAGAGGUCCGGGCCUGACCUUUUGGUUGGCGCUAACGCCCGUCGGGCUGUUUUGGCGCUGUUCAGGCUGAGUGUUGUGGUCCGGCCGUUCGCGGUCAGACAAUGAAGGGCCGUCGCGGCGACGCGGCGGCCC